Molecule: ribosomal RNA, 484 nt
Filed under: uncultured bacterium
Lineage: Bacteria
Description: partial 16S ribosomal RNA
Rfam family: Bacterial small subunit ribosomal RNA
Source: RNAcentral
GAUUAACGCUAGCGGCAGGCAUAAUACAUGCAAGUUGAACGGCAGCACAGGUAGCAAUACUGGGUGGCGAGUGGCGCACGGGUGCGUAACACGUAUGCAACCUACCCUAUACAGGCGAAUAACCUUUAGAAAUGAGGGCUAAUACGCCGUAGUAUUACAGAUGGGCAUCUAUUUGUAAUUAAAGAUUUAUCGGUAUAGGAUGGGCAUGCGUCCCAUUAGUUAGUUGGUAAGGUAACGGCUUACCAAGACGAUGAUGGGUAGGGGAUCUGAGAGGACUUACCCCCACACUGGUACUGAGACACGGACCAGACCCCUACGGGAGGCAGCAGUAAGGAAUAUUGGGCAAUGGCCGCGAGGCUGACCCAGCCAUGCCGCGUGCAGGAAGACGGCCUUAUGGGUUGUAAACUGCUUUUAUACGGGAAUAAUAGAGUGUACGCGUACAUUUAUGCAAGUAUCGUAUGAAUAAGCAUCGGCUAACUCCGUG